This is an RNA transcript of Triticum dicoccoides, 1056 nucleotides long. It is a transcript of the gene named mediator of RNA polymerase II transcription subunit 10b-like, with no coding region annotated. The transcript is spliced from 6 exons. NCBI's taxonomy places the organism in Eukaryota, Viridiplantae, Streptophyta, Magnoliopsida, Poales, Poaceae. The record is from RefSeq and is a predicted model, not a curated record.
CCUCCCCGUCAUUUCCCCCUCCGACUUCGGCAUGGACAGCACCGCGCCGAACUUUUCUUCCGCCGCCGCCGUCGCCGCCGCCGCCGCCGCUUCCGGCAACGGCCUACAAGGGGGAGCGGGAGGGGACCGUCCCGAGGACCCGUCGAAGCAGAACCUGGCGCAGGUCACGGGCUCGAUCCAGAAGACCCUGGGUCUGCUCCACCAGCUCAACCUCAACGUCUCCUCCUUCAGCUCCGCGUCCCAGCUCCCCCUCCUCCAGCGCCUGAACGCGCUCGUGGCGGAGCUCGACACGAUGCAGAAGCUCGCCGACGGGUGCAACAUCCAGGUGCCCAUGGAGGUCGUCAAUUUGAUUGAUGACGGGAAGAACCCCGAUGAGUUCACCAGGGACGUGUUCAACAGCUGCAUCGCCAAGAACCAGAUCACGAAGGGCAAGACGGAUGCUUUCAAGAGCCUGAGGAAGCAUCUUCUUGAGGAGCUGGAAGAAGCUUUUCCAGAUGACGUUGAAGCGUACAGACAGAUACGUGCUACCUCUGCUGCUGAGUCAAAGAGGUUGGCUCAGUCCCAAAGUGCUUUGCCUAAUGGAGAUGCCAAAGUGAAACCUGAGCAUUGAGAGAAUAACCCAAGUGCAAAGAGCAAGAUCUUGCUUUAUAUUUCCUAUAGUUUUUCUUAGGAAGGCUUUGUGAACCAACAACUGAUAUAACCUUUACCACCAUCAAUAAUUUUCGAAGUGCCUGAUGAAGUUCACUCAUCUGAUAAAACUGGACGUGUCGGUAAGUAUUCUCAGGAACUCGAGAGCCAGAAAUGGGAUUCUUCAUUUAGUGAGUCUUCUAGAGGUGGUGGCCCCUCUUUUGCAAAAGGCUCGAGCUAAAUGUAACUGCCCCUCUUCCUCAGAUGCAUGUCUCAUGUUUAUCUUCUUGGGAGAAAUGAUGUCUGCUUACUGCUCGUUGCAUUUGGUUCGCCGUAGUUUGCAGUGCACUGUAACUGCUUAUACUAGAUUUGACUACAUGGAACUGUAAUUUGGAAUGUUAAAUUUAAUUUAAAUAGAAGGAUAACUUA